Molecule: ribosomal RNA, 541 nt
Filed under: uncultured Burkholderia sp.
Lineage: Bacteria; Pseudomonadati; Pseudomonadota; Betaproteobacteria; Burkholderiales; Burkholderiaceae
Description: bacterial SSU rRNA
Rfam family: Bacterial small subunit ribosomal RNA
Source: RNAcentral
UCCUACGGGAGGCAGCAGUGGGGAAUUUUGGACAAUGGGGGAAACCCUGAUCCAGCAAUGCCGCGUGUGUGAAGAAGGCCUUCGGGUUGUAAAGCACUUUUGUCCGGAAAGAAAACUUCUCCAUUAAUACCGGGGGAGGAUGACGGUACCGGAAGAAUAAGCACCGGCUAACUACGUGCCAGCAGCCGCGGUAAUACGUAGGGUGCGAGCGUUAAUCGGAAUUACUGGGCGUAAAGCGUGCGCAGGCGGUUCGUUAAGACAGAUGUGAAAUCCCCGGGCUUAACCUGGGAACUGCAUUUGUGACUGGCGAGCUAGAGUAUGGCAGAGGGGGGUAGAAUUCCACGUGUAGCAGUGAAAUGCGUAGAGAUGUGGAGGAAUACCGAUGGCGAAGGCAGCCCCCUGGGCCAAUACUGACGCUCAUGCACGAAAGCGUGGGGAGCAAACAGGAUUAGAUACCCUGGAGUCCACGCCCGACGAUGCUCUGCAUGGAUUCUUUCCUUAUUUUCCUCCGCAAGUGACCGCUAGGCUCGACGCAGAUAAA